This 175-nucleotide ribosomal RNA is filed under the name uncultured bacterium. RNAcentral describes it as "partial 16S ribosomal RNA". It matches the Rfam family "Bacterial small subunit ribosomal RNA", at positions 1326 to 1500 of the family's 1533-position model. The record is from RNAcentral.
CUGGAAUCGCUAGUAAUCGCGAAUCAGAAUGUCGCGGUGAAUACGUUCCCGGGUCUUGUACACACCGCCCGUCACACCAUGGGAGUCGGAUAUGCCCGAAGUCAGUGACCCAACCAUAUGGAGGGAGCCGCCGAAGGUGGAGCCGAUAACUGGGGUGAAGUCGUAACAAGGUAAC